Molecule: non-coding RNA, 786 nt
Organism: Malus domestica (apple)
Lineage: Eukaryota; Viridiplantae; Streptophyta; Magnoliopsida; Rosales; Rosaceae
Source: RefSeq, a predicted model, not a curated record
CAACCAGCCCCUUCCUUUUGUGAUUUUUUUAUUUAAAAAAAAAUAUAUAUAUAUAUAAAACUGAAACUCCCUGCUUAGGCCUUUAUGAACUAGUGUAGUAGUGAGAGAUAGAGUCCAGAAAGGCGCAGACUUGGUUUAGAGCCCAAUAGGCCCAUAUAAUAUCAUAUGGGCUCGCUGCGCCUGCUGCUGCCGCCGCCGCCGCUAUCGGUAUCACUAUCAGACGACGGCAAGAGAAUAAAACUCUCUACUCUAGUCUACUCUGUGGUGGUGGUGGUGCCGUACAACGGCACAGGCAGGCAAGUAGCAUAGCUUAUUUUACGGCAAUUAUAACAAACGACCGACAUCCCCAAAUCAAUUGAUAUUGAUACACUGGAUAGCCGACGGAGGAAGAGGAAGAGACAGAGAGGAUGAUGAGAAUCCUCAACUUGCGGUUCAUUGAAGGCUCAUUCAGUUCAACAUCCCUACCUUUCUUCCUCUCCUCCCAACGCGUGCGGGCACGGUCGGCAGGGACGGAGGCAGGGACAGGGACCGGGACAGGGAGGGUCCUCGAUUUCUCGUGUGGUCUUAACAUGGCUUUGGCCGGCAAAGGUGUAAUUGUCGACCACCAAGCCUUUCAUAAUUUGACUCCUCUCAACUUCAACACAAGGGUGCAACAAUUCCAGAAUCAUUGUCAGGACUUCCACUUCUUGUUAGAGGACGUUUCCAUGGAAUAGGAGCAGCAGCAGGAGGAGGAGGAGCUUCCCAAAUUUCCAAGCCACAGUUCACUAAGCUUUUGAAACAUGCACG